This 325-nucleotide ribosomal RNA is filed under the name uncultured eukaryote. RNAcentral describes it as "partial 18S ribosomal RNA". It matches the Rfam family "Eukaryotic small subunit ribosomal RNA", at positions 1470 to 1796 of the family's 1831-position model. The record is from RNAcentral.
CCCUUAGAUGUCCUGGGCCGCACGCGCGCUACACUGAUGCAUUCAACGAGUAUUUCCUUGGCCGAGAGGCCUGGGCAAUCUUUUAAACCUGCAUCGUGAUAGGGAUAGAUUAUUGCAAUUAUUAAUCUUGAACGAGGAAUUCCUAGUAAACGCAAAUCAUCAAUUUGCAUUGAUUACGUCCCUGCCCUUUGUACACACCGCCCGUCGCACCUACCGAUUGAAUGGUCCGGUGAAAUCUCGGGAUUGUGGCCAGUUCACUUUAUUGGGAGUUGGCUGCGAGAACUUGCUUAAACCGUAUCAUUUAGAGGAAGGUGAAGUCGUAACA